Molecule: ribosomal RNA, 504 nt
Filed under: uncultured bacterium
Lineage: Bacteria
Description: partial 16S ribosomal RNA
Rfam family: Bacterial small subunit ribosomal RNA
Source: RNAcentral
AUUGAACGCUGGCGGCAGGCCUAACACAUGCAAGUCGAACGGUAGCACAGAGAGCUUGCUCUCGGGUGACGAGUGGCGGACGGGUGAGUAAUGUCUGGGAAACUGCCUGAUGGAGGGGGAUAACUACUGGAAACGGUAGCUAAUACCGCAUAACGUCGCAAGACCAAAGUGGGGGACCUUCGGGCCUCACACCAUCGGAUGUGCCCAGAAGGGAUUAGCUAGUAGGUGGGGUAAUGGCUCACCUAGGCGACGAUCCCUAGCUGGUCUGAGAGGAUGACCAGCCACACUGGAACUGAGACACGGUCCAGACUCCUACGGGAGGCAGCAGUGGGGAAUAUUGCACAAUGGGCGCAAGCCUGAUGCAGCCAUGCCGCGUGUAUGAAGAAGGCCUUCGGGUUGUAAAGUACUUUCAGCGGGGAGGAAGGCGGUGAAGUUAAUAGCUUCACCGAUUGACGUUACUCGCAGAAGAAGCACCGGCUAACUCCGUGCCAGCCGCCGCGGUAA